CGCGUGGGAACGUGCCCUUCGGUUCGGAAUAACUCAGGGAAACUUGAGCUAAUACCGGAUACGUGCUUAGGCAGAAAGGUUUAUCUGCCGAAGGAUCGGCCCGCGUCUGAUUAGCUAGUUGGUGAGGUUAUGGCUCACCAAGGCGACGAUCAGUAGCUGGUCUGAGAGGAUGAUCAGCCACACUGGGACUGAGACACGGCCCAGACUCCUACGGGAGGCAGCAGUGGGGAAUAUUGGACAAUGGGGGCAACCCUGAUCCAGCCAUGCCGCGUGAGUGAUGACGGCCUUAGGGUUGUAAAGCUCUUUUCUCCGGGACGAUAAUGACGGUACCGGAGGAAUAAGCCCCGGCUAACUUCGUG
This 359-nucleotide ribosomal RNA is filed under the name uncultured Alphaproteobacteria bacterium. RNAcentral's name for it is "bacterial SSU rRNA". It matches the Rfam family "Bacterial small subunit ribosomal RNA", at positions 114 to 507 of the family's 1533-position model. Lineage: Bacteria; Pseudomonadati; Pseudomonadota; Alphaproteobacteria. The record is from RNAcentral.